UUAGGCCUACGGGGCGCAGCAGUGGGGGAUAUUGCACAAUGGGGGAAACCCUGAUGCAGCGACGCCGCGUGGGUGAAGAAGCGCCUCGGCGCGUAAAGCCCUGUCAGCAGGGAAGAAAAUGACGGUACCUGGAGAAGAAGCCCCGGCUAACUACGUGCCAGCAGCCGCGGUAAUACGUAGGGGGCAAGCGUUAUCCGGAUUUACUGGUGUAAAGGGGGCGCAGACGGCGAUGCAAGCCAGGAGUGAAAGCCCGUGGCCCAACCCCGGGACUGCUCUUGGAACUGCGUGGCUAGAGUGCAGG
Molecule: ribosomal RNA, 301 nt
Filed under: uncultured bacterium
Lineage: Bacteria
Description: bacterial SSU rRNA
Rfam family: Bacterial small subunit ribosomal RNA
Source: RNAcentral